RNAcentral lists this ribosomal RNA (43 nucleotides) under Peziza echinospora. Its description in RNAcentral is "partial 18S ribosomal RNA". The record is from RNAcentral. Lineage: Eukaryota; Fungi; Ascomycota; Pezizomycetes; Pezizales; Pezizaceae.
AACAAGGUUUCCGUAGGUGAACCUGCGGAAGGAUCAUUAAUGA